Molecule: ribosomal RNA, 509 nt
Filed under: uncultured bacterium
Lineage: Bacteria
Description: partial 16S ribosomal RNA
Rfam family: Bacterial small subunit ribosomal RNA
Source: RNAcentral
GACGAACGCUGGCGGCGUGCUUAACACAUGCAAGUCGAACGAAGAGCGAUGGAAGCUUGCUUCUAUCACUCUUAGUGGCGAACGGGUGAGUAACGCGUAAUCAACCUGCCCUUCAGAGGGGGACAACAGUUGGAAACGACUGCUAAUACCGCAUACGAUCUAAUCUCGGCAUCGAGGAUAGAUGAAAGGUGGCCUCUACAUGUAAGCUAUCACUGAAGGAGGGGAUUGCGUCUGAUUAGCUAGUUGGAGGGGUAACGGCCCACCAAGGCGAUGAUCAGUAGCCGGUCUGAGAGGAUGAACGGCCACAUUGGGACUGAGACACGGCCCAGACUCCUACGGGAGGCAGCAGUGGGGAAUCUUCCGCAAUGGACGAAAGUCUGACGGAGCAACGCCGCGUGAGUGAUGACGGCCUUCGGGUUGUAAAGCUCUGUUAAUCGGGACGAAAGGCCUUCUUGCGAAUAGUGAGAAGGAUUGACGGUACCGGAAUAGAAAGCCACGGCUAACUACGU